Sciurus vulgaris (Eurasian red squirrel) is the source of this 217-nucleotide small nucleolar RNA. The record is from Ensembl. NCBI's taxonomy places the organism in Eukaryota, Metazoa, Chordata, Mammalia, Rodentia, Sciuridae.
AAGACUAUACUUUCAGGGAUCAUUUCUAUAGUUCGUUACUAGAGAAGUUUCUCUGAUCGUGUAGAGUACCGGAAACCACGAGGAGGAGGCGAAGUGUUCCCUUCUGAGCGUGAAGCUGGCAUUUGGUGUUGCUUUAUAGCAACUGCCGCUUGUCAUUGAUGAUCGUUCUUCUCUUCUUUUUGGAGAGUAAGAGGGAGGGAACACAGUCUGAGUGGUU